RNAcentral lists this transfer RNA (73 nucleotides) under Apaloderma vittatum (bar-tailed trogon). It matches the Rfam family "tRNA". Rfam says of the family: Transfer RNA (tRNA) molecules are approximately 80 nucleotides in length. Their secondary structure includes four short double-helical elements and three loops (D, anti-codon, and T loops). The record is from Rfam by way of RNAcentral. Lineage: Eukaryota; Metazoa; Chordata; Aves; Trogoniformes; Trogonidae.
GGCCAGUUAGCUCAGUCAGUUGAGCACGGUACUGAUAACACCAAGGCUGCGGGUUCGAUUCCCGUUCGGUCCC